AUACGGAGGGCGCAAGCGUUGUUCGGAAUCAUUGGGCGUAAAGCGCGUGUAGGCGGCUUGGUAAGUCGGGUGUGAAAGCCCGGGGCUCAACCCCGGAAAUGCAUUCGAAACUGCCUGGCUAGAGUUCCGGAGAGGAAGGCAGAAUUCCCGGUGUAGAGGUGAAAUUCGUAGAUAUCGGGAGGAAUACCAGUGGCGAAGGCGGCCUUCUGGACGGCAACUGACGCUGAGACGCGAAAGCGUGGGGAGCAAACAGGAUUAGAAACCCCGGUAGUCC
This 274-nucleotide ribosomal RNA is filed under the name uncultured bacterium. RNAcentral's name for it is "partial 16S ribosomal RNA". It matches the Rfam family "Bacterial small subunit ribosomal RNA", at positions 523 to 796 of the family's 1533-position model. The record is from RNAcentral.